Myodes glareolus (Bank vole) is the source of this 495-nucleotide non-coding RNA. The record is from RefSeq and is a predicted model, not a curated record. NCBI's taxonomy places the organism in Eukaryota, Metazoa, Chordata, Mammalia, Rodentia, Cricetidae.
UUUGUCAGUUCCUGUUCUGGGUCUUUUCAGUGCUCUGAGGCUGGAGAAACCUUUCAGUGGGGGUGUGUCAGGAAUUCACAACGACUCUAAUUGCAGGUGCUUUGGGCUUUGUUCUGCCCUUUCUUGCCUGUUUACUGUGUCAGUUAGGUUUUGUUUCCGAUGUGUGUCUCAGCUAGCAUUGUUCCACUCUGAGGCCACAGCCUCAGAAGGGAAGUCAGGUUUUUGAUCCCUUGCCAGUCAACUUUCCAAGAAUGAAAGACAUCUGGGGAGAACCUUGGACACUGCUACCCCCAGAAUGGUCUAUUCCUGGGUUUACACCCCACUAAGAUGAUAUCCUCUGACUCUCCUUACUUGGGAAGAUGGUGGGGACCAGGGUAGAGUCCACUCCAGCUUUUAAGGGACCUGUUCAUCCUCCAUCCAUCCUGCCAUGCACUGAAAUUUGGAACGCCAGCUCCAUGUGAAGUUACUGAAUUGUUGUCAAGAAACAUCUGCCUU